UCUCAAUGGUUUGCUUGCUUGAAGAGAAUAUUUCAUCAAGUUUUAAUACAUGAAAAUAAAAAUAUGUUGCUCCCUCUUUCAGAUUAUUGAUUCGCAGUUCUAGAUCAUUGUAGUCCAACGGUGCGUACCUGUUGGAGCCCAAACCUCAGACGAGAACCAUGACUUGGGUUGUGGUGACGUAGUAGAUAAAGCUGCGACCCUUCGAUUUGGCGGUGGUUGUGUCGUGGUUCUUGUGUCGCCGACUUGGAUUUGGGGCAGAGCGGUGGACGGUGGUGAUCGGUAUUGGUUGCUGACGUCGGGAGAAGAGUAGUGAUUGAUGGUAGUAACUGGAGGCAUCUGUCGAUGCCUGGAUGAUGUAUGACCCGUGGAUGGCACGUGAGGAUACUGUUCCUAAAUCAUACCCAAAUUGUAUAUAUUGAAUGAAUUGAAUGAAUGAAUGAAUUUGUCAAGUUUGUUGUUUUUUAAUACAAAAAGUUAGUUCAUGGGAGAGGUUUAAAGAUCAACUUAAUAUAGAUUUGAACUUAAAAAAAAAAAAAAAAAAGUGACUAUAGAUUCAUUUUUACUAGACAAUUUUAGAAUUUGGAAUCUUUUAGCAAUAUACACUGGGAUUCAACAAAGUUAAUAUCUUUAUUAUUUUAUCAAUUGGGAUCCAGUUUUGUAAUGAGAUUCAACAAAGUUAAUAUCUUAUUAUUUUAUCGAUUGGGAUCCAGUUUUGUAACUGGACAAAUUAUUAAUUUUAUCAAGUAUUAAUUCAUAGAAGUUUUACUGUAAAUGUAUUAUUCCCCAAAUGGUAGAGGGUUGUAGUCUAUGAUAGACAUUGGUGUAGAUUUAGAAGUAGGUUUAGACUUUUCUAUCACUCUUGUAAACUUUAGUCAUUGUUUAGUAUAUGAGUUGGUAAUUGUUGGUUGA
This 909-nucleotide long non-coding RNA is filed under the name Helianthus annuus (common sunflower). RNAcentral's name for it is "sRNA HanXRQr2_Chr12g0523891". The record is from RNAcentral. Lineage: Eukaryota; Viridiplantae; Streptophyta; Magnoliopsida; Asterales; Asteraceae.